UACAGAGGUCUCAAGCGUGGUUCGGAUUCAUUGGGCGUAAAGGGUGCGUAGGCGGCGCGGUAAGUCGGGUGUGAAAUCUCGGGGCUUAACUCCGAAACUGCAUUCGAUACUGCCGUGCUUGAGGACUGGAGAGGAGACUGGAAUUUACGGUGUAGCGGUGAAAUGCGUAGAUAUCGUAAGGAAGACCAGUGGCGAAGGCGGGUCUCUGGACAGUUCCUGACGCUGAGGCACGAAGGCCAGGGGAGCAAACGGG
Molecule: ribosomal RNA, 253 nt
Filed under: uncultured bacterium
Lineage: Bacteria
Description: partial 16S ribosomal RNA
Rfam family: Bacterial small subunit ribosomal RNA
Source: RNAcentral